Molecule: long non-coding RNA, 2329 nt
Organism: Hypanus sabinus (Atlantic stingray)
Lineage: Eukaryota; Metazoa; Chordata; Chondrichthyes; Myliobatiformes; Dasyatidae
Exons: 5
Source: RefSeq, a predicted model, not a curated record
GGACAGUUAAGUGUCAACUACUAUAGCAGCUGUGUAGUCGCAAAGAGGGCCAAAUACUCAUCAGUUUGGACUCCAGAUACAGAUUGUGUUAUUCAGUGGGAGGGUUGUGUCACAGUCUGGCUUAAGUACAUUCUGAUUUUAGAACCAGCACAACAAAGUGGAAUACACUGGAAUUCAAGUGUGGGCACAGAAAGACAUCUCACAGGAUGUUCCUGAUUGGUUCUGGAAGUACUUCACAUCCGUCCCCUCAACUUUAACACCAACUGACAGCUCGCACUUUUAGUGGAGUCCAUUCAUUUGAAAGGUGGUUUUCGCCUUCACUAAAAAAGAAAGUGAAGUGCCUGAUGAUUCAAGGGAAAUAACUGUUCCUGAACCUGAUGGUCCUGAUCCUCAAGUUCCUGUACCUCCUUCCUGAUGGCAGCAGCAAGAAGAGAGCAUGUCCUGGAUGGUGGGGUCCCUGAUGAUAGAUGCUGCGUUCUUACAACAUGCCGAAUCAUCUAUGAUUUCCCCGUUGAAGAUGAAAGGGAGAAAGUUUGAAAGGGAUGUGUGAGUGAGCUCUCCAGUCAGUAUAAUGAGUUUCAGUAUGUCAACUCAAUGAACACUGUCUGAUAAACCUUCUGCACCAGGUAAAAGACGAGAUUGAUGGUGUUUCACGCUUCCUAUUUCUCAUUGGUUAUUUUUGCCGAGCAGCUUUGUGGUAGACACAGCGUGCUAUUCAUAGAUGGAAGUCAGUGAACUGCAUAUAUCUAAGUAUCAUAGCCUGCUUCUUUACACAGCUGGCAGGGCUCUAACAUCAUUGACUUCUUCUGGUCCAUUGCAUCGACAAUAGUCACCAGCUUGCUGGCGUGUGGUCCACGAGCAAUGCAGACCACAAGGCGGCUCUCCAUGCACCACUUAUGGAACUGAAUGGACGCAUUGUUGCUACAGUUCUUUUUGCAGUAAUGAACAGGGUAAACUUGCCAGCUGAAAUUCAAAGUCAUCUGAAUUGGAGGAUGUCCAAACUUGCUUAUUUUGGGCAUGUUUUAAUGGUUUCGUGCUGGCUGUUUUCUCCACUUCAGUAAGACAGUGCUGUUUUUGGUAUAUUGCUGAAAGCAUGUCGGCUACUUAAGGGAUGCAUGGAGCCUCAACUAAAGAAGGAAGGUUUGUGACAUCUAAUUGCUAGUUUGCUCUGGGUACAUUACAUAUUAAUUUCUGUAUUCACUUUCAUGGUUAGAGACAUGUUUUUUGAUCUUAUUCCAGUUGAGAGGAAGAGUCCUUUUUCAACAGUGUCCCUGUUCCUUCCAAAAUUUUGAAGGCAAUACUAUCUACACUCAGUGGCACUUUAUUCGUACACCUGUACACCUGCUCAUUAAUGCACAUAUCUAUUCAGCCAAUCAUGUGGCAGUAAUUCAAUGCCUAAAAACAUGCUAAGAUGGUCAAGAGGUUCAGUUGUUGUUCAGACCAAACAUCAGGAGAGGGAAGAGAUGUGAUCUAAGUGACCUUGACCUUGGAAUUACUGUGGAUGCCAGACAGGGUGGUUUGAGUAUCUCAGAACUGGUGAACUUCCAGGAUUUUCACACAGAGCUGUUUCUAGAGUUUACAGAAAAUGUUGCAAGAAAUGGGGAGAAAAAAAAACAUCCAGUGAGCAGCAGAUCUGUGGGCGUAAACAACUUUUUAAUGAGAGAGAUUAGAGGCCAAAUUGAUUCAAGCUGAUAGGAAGGUGAUAGUAACUCAAGUUAGCAUACAGUACAACAGUGGUGUGCAGAAGACCAUCUCUGAAUGCACAACACUUUGAACAUUGAAGUGGACGGGCAAAAGCAGCAUCAGACCAUAAAUAUACACUCAGUGGUCACUUUAUUAGGUACAAGAGGUACCUAAUAAAGCGGCCACUGAGCUUAUAAUAUUCAGUUCAUUUGCAGUUAGGGAGAUAAUCUAUUAAAUAUUCCAAUGUCAGCACUAUAGCUGAAAUGUCCUCUCAGAUUCUGUUCUCCGCCAAUUAUUUAUGUUUAAUGUCUUUUUGCUUCCUGAAGAUUACAUCACCUUUGGAUUCCAACUGGGUAAAGUAGAUUUCAAACCUCCCAAAAAAAUCAGUACACUCAUUUUCAAUUAUUAGAGCUUGAGCCAGUACUUUGCUAAUUGGUUAUUUUGCAUACAUGGGCAAUGAAGUGCCUUCUCUCAGCUAAAAAAAACCUUUGCAUUGGCAAUCAGAAAGGAAAUAGACUCCAUAAAUAACUGGACAUUGUUCUGCGAGAGACUGGAACCGACCCUCUGGCUGUAUAUAUCAGAAACUGUUCAUUGUAAUUUAAAUGUUGAUGCAAUCUGCGCUGUAAGUGGAAUAAAGUACCCUCGA